ACGGGAGGCAGCAGUGAGGAAUAUUGGUCAAUGGAGGCAACUCUGAACCAGCCAUCUCGCGUGAAGGAAUACGGCCCUACGGGUCUUAAACUUCUUUUAUAGGGGGAUAAAGUGAGGCAUGCAUGCCUUUUUGUAGGUACCCUAUGAAUAAGCAUCGGCUAACUCCGUGCCAGCAGCCGCGGUAAUACGAGGGGUGCAAGCGUUGUUCGGAAUCACUGGGCGUAAAGGGAGCGCAGGCGGAGAUGCAAGCGGACUGUACAAUACCGGGGCCCAACCCCGGACCUGCAGUCCGGACUGCACCUCUUGGAUAGUUCAGGGGCAAGCGGAAUUCCUGGUGUAGCGGUGGAAUGCGUAGAGAUCAGGAAGAACACCGAUGGCGAAGGCAGCUUGCUGGGGACUAAUCGACGCUCAUGCUCGAAAGUGCGGGUAGCAAACAGGAUUAGAUACCCUGGUA
RNAcentral lists this ribosomal RNA (454 nucleotides) under uncultured Fibrobacter sp. RNAcentral's name for it is "partial 16S ribosomal RNA". It matches the Rfam family "Bacterial small subunit ribosomal RNA", at positions 341 to 792 of the family's 1533-position model. Lineage: Bacteria; Pseudomonadati; Fibrobacterota; Fibrobacteria; Fibrobacterales; Fibrobacteraceae. The record is from RNAcentral.